This is an RNA transcript of Trifolium pratense (red clover), 5049 nucleotides long. It is a transcript of the gene named translocase of chloroplast 120, chloroplastic-like, with no coding region annotated. The record is from RefSeq and is a predicted model, not a curated record. NCBI's taxonomy places the organism in Eukaryota, Viridiplantae, Streptophyta, Magnoliopsida, Fabales, Fabaceae. The transcript has 4 exons.
CUCAUUUGUUACGCUUUUUGUUCCCGUCACUGACCCCAAUUUCCACCAUUUCCGUUUAUACUGUCUACGCACCAUUUUCCACCGUCGAUCUUAAACUCCCUUCAUUCAUCUCUGUCCGUUUGAUCUUAACCCCCUUAUCCCUAUAUUCAUCUGCUGUAGAAAAAAUCCAACACAACAACACAAACCAAAGUGAAGUUUUGCGGAACAACAAUUCAUCUCUUUUCAUUUCAACUUUCAACCCUUUCAAUCUUUCUUCUUCAUAGCAUAAUCAGGGUUUUGUAAGGAGGUGGAGAUUUGUGAUGAUGGAUAAUGAGGGAGAAAGGGAGAGGGUUGAUGUUGGGGUGUCUGAGGAGAGUGUUAAGAAUUUUGAAGGAGAGGAGGUUUUUGAGGAGGCAAUGGAUCCGAUAAAGCGUUUUGAUGAUCUGGGUGGUGAUGCUGUUGUUGGUGAAGAUGAUGUUGUUACUGAUACUGUUAGUGAAUUGCCUUCAGAUUUGGUUGAUGAAGUUGCGGAUAAGAAAGAAGAAUCGGAUACUUUUCGAGAGUCAGUUGGGGUUGACGAUGAGGAGGAACUUGAAGUGAUUGCUAAUCAGGAGGUGCGUGAGGAUCAGCAGGGGCAGCUUUAUAACAAAGAGGCUGAGGGUGGAGUGUCUUGUGAUGAAUCCUAUAGUAUCAAGGAUGAUUUUAGUGGGGGAAAGGAAUUAUCUGAUUCAAACGCUGAUGGAAGCGUGGUGUUUCAGGAGGGUAGAGACUUGGUGAAUGGAGAGUCUGGUUUAUUGAGUGAGAAGGGUGAAGGUGAGGAUCUUGAAUAUGUGACUCCCAGACAAAAUGGUGGUUUGAUAUCGGAAAAUGGAAGCACGGACAAGGUGGAUUUUGCUGUUGAGGAGUUUCGUACAGAAUCUGGGUCUGAUGAGGAGAUGAAAAACAAGGAUGCUGAUGGUGGGUAUUUGAAAGAGGAUGGCUUGGAUCCUGAUCUCAGAGAUGACAAGAUAGAGGAAGAGCGCAAUGAUUCAGGUGAUCCUUCCAGUGAAAUUCAAGACGGUACAGAUGAUUUAGAACAUCAUCAUGAAAUAUUUGUAGAAAUGGAGGAUGAGACGAUUGGCACUGAUGCAAUCCACAAGGAUACAAAUGGCAAAGAAACUGGAGUAUCUGAUAGUCAGAGUACUGAAUCCAAAGUUUAUAGCAAUCAUGAAACCAAGGAUGACGACGCCGAAUCAAAUUCAGAGCAUCUGGAAACAAUUGGUGAAACAGGAGGAUCUUCUCCGGCUGUGAAUGAAAGUGAAGUGGUUGAGACUGCUGGAAGCUCGUCCCUAUCAGAAAAUUCUUUGGCUAAUGAGAUGCCGACUGUUCAGGCUACUGCAGCUGAUUCAGAAGUAGGGAGUACAAAGGUUUACCAGUCUCAGAUUUCUACUGAAGAAAAUCAAGGAAAUUAUGAAAACUUAUCUGUUGUUGAUAGAAGUGAAGUGAUUGAAACAGGCGGAUCUUCUCCAACUUUGGAUGAAAGAAAAGUGACUGAAACGGUUGUAAACUCGUCCAUAUCAGAAAACUCUUCUGCUAACGAGAUACCAACUGUUCAGACUACUGCAGCCGAUUCAGAAGAAGGGAGUGCAAAGGUUUACCAGUCUCAGAUUUCUAAUGAAGAAAAUCAAGGAAAUUCUGAAAUAUCAUCUGUUGUUGAUAGAAGCGAAGUGAUUGAAACAUUAAGAUCUUCUCCGGCUUUGGAUGAAGUAAAAGUGGCUGAAACUGUUGGAAGCUCACCCCCAUCAGAAAACUCUUUUGCUAAUGAGUUGCCGACUGUUCAGGCUACUGCAGCUGAUUCAGUAAAAGAGACUUCGAAGGUUUACCCGUCUAAGAUUUCUAAUGCAGAAAAUCAAGGAAAUUAUGAAAAAUCAUCUGUUGUUGGGGAACCUGAAAAGAUACCAGAGAAUAAUACGAAGGAGAAGCAAACUACUCAGAUCAUUAAAGAACAGAAUAGUGAGCUUGAUUCCUCAUCUGGAAAGUCUGUUGCUCCUGGCACUCCUCUUGAUCGUCCUGUUGGCCUUGGACCUGUAGCUCCAUUAUUGAGACCCACUCCUAGGGUUGUUCAGCAGCCACGGGUGAAUAAUACUAAAGAGAAGCAAACCACUCAGAUCACUAAAGAACAUAAUAGUGAGCUUGAUUCCUCCUCUGGAAAAUCUGUUCCUACCAGCACCCCUCUUGUUCGUCCUGCUGGCCUUGGAUCUGCAGCUCCAUUAUUGGAACCUUCUCCUAGGGUAGUGCAGCAACCACGGGUGAACAAUACUGUAUCAAAUGUACAGUCACCAAAAAUGGAAGACUCCUCAACUGGGGAAGCUGAGGAGUAUGACGAGACUCGAGAGAAACUUCAAAUGAUUAGGGUGAAGUUUUUGCGGCUGGCUAAAAGAUUUGGGCAGACACCCCACAAUGUUGUUGUAGCACAGGUUCUUUAUAGAUUAGGACUGGCUGAACAACUUAGAGGGAGAAAUGGGGGCCGUGUUGGCGCUUUUAGCUUUGAUCGUGCAAGUGCCAUGGCCGAGCAACUUGAAUCAGCAGGUCAAGAACCACUUGAUUUCUCUUGUACAAUAAUGGUUCUUGGUAAGACAGGAGUUGGGAAAAGUUCAACAAUCAAUUCUAUCUUUGAUGAGGUUAAAUUUAAUACUGAUGCUUUUCAGAUGGGAACAAAAAAGGUUCAGGAUGUUGUGGGAACAGUACAGGGUAUUAAAGUCCGGGUCAUUGAUACACCGGGACUUCUACCUUCCUGGACAGAUCAGCAACACAAUGAGAAGAUCCUGCACUCUGUCAAACGCUUUAUUAAAAAAACACCACCAGAUAUUGUGCUGUAUCUUGAUAGAUUAGAUAUGCAGAGCCGGGAUUUUAGUGAUAUGCCGCUCUUACGCACGAUAACUGAUGUUUUUGGACCAACCAUAUGGUUCAAUGCUAUUGUGGUUUUGACUCAUGCAGCAUCUGCUCCACCUGAUGGCCCUAAUGGUACUCCUUCCAGUUAUGACAUGUUUGUCACACAGCGCUCUCAUGUUGUGCAGCAAGCCAUUCGUCAAGCAGCUGGUGAUAUGCGUCUCAUGAAUCCUGUAUCGUUGGUGGAGAACCACUCUGCAUGUAGAACUAAUACAGCCGGCCAAAGAGUGUUGCCUAAUGACCAGGUCUGGAAACCUCAUCUGUUACUCUUAUCUUUUGCCUCAAAAAUUCUGGCUGAAGCAAAUGCGCUUCUUAAGUUACAAGAUAAUCCACGUGAAAAGCCUUACACAGCUCGUGCAAGAGCGCCACCAUUACCGUUUCUCCUAUCAUCCCUUCUGCAGUCAAGACCGCAAUUAAAAUUACCCGAGGAGCAAUUCAGUGAUGACGACGGUCUCAAUGACGAUCUUGAUGAACCAUCAGAUUCCGGUGAUGAAACAGACCCUGAUGACUUACCACCAUUUAAGCCUUUGACAAAGGCCCAGAUAAAAAAUCUUUCUAGAGCUCAGAAGAAAGCAUAUCUGGAUGAGGUUGAGUACCGAGAAAAACUCUUCAUGAAGAAACAAUUAAAGUAUGAAAAAAAGCAACGAAAGAUGAUGAAGGAAAUGGCAGAAUCAGCGAAAGAUCUACCAACUGAAUAUGGUGAAAAUGUGGAGGAAGAAAGUGAAGGUGCAUCUUCUGUUCCUGUUCCCAUGCCUGAUAUGUCCUUGCCUGCUUCCUUUGAUUCUGAUACUCCAACUCACCGGUAUCGUUAUCUUGAUUCAUCCAACCAGUGGCUUGUAAGACCUGUCCUAGAAACUCAUGGAUGGGAUCAUGAUGUGGGUUAUGAAGGCUUAAAUGUAGAAAGAUUGUUUGUUCUUAAAGACAAGAUACCCGUAUCUUUUAGUGGUCAAGUUACCAAGGACAAAAAGGAUGCUAAUGUUCAGAUGGAAAUGGCAAGUUCAGUUAAGCAUGGAGAAGGGAAAGCAACAUCAUUAGGUUUUGAUAUGCAGACUGUUGGGAAAGACUUGGCUUACACAUUACGCAGCGAGACAAAAUUUCUUAAUUUUAGGAGAAAUAAGGGAACUGCCGGUCUCUCCUUUACUCUCUUGGGUGAUGCCUUGUCAGCUGGAGUUAAAGUCGAAGAUAAGUUGAUUGCUAAUAAGCGGUUCAAGUUGGUUAUUGCUGGUGGUGCAAUGACUGGGCGUGAUGAUGUUGCUUAUGGUGGCAGUUUGGAGGCACAAUUGAGAGAUAAAAAUUACCCUCUAGGACGCUCAUUAUCAACACUUGGGCUUUCUGUUAUGGAUUGGCAUGGAGAUCUUGCUGUUGGGUGCAAUUUACAAUCACAAAUUCCCAUUGGAAGGUAUACAAACCUUGUUGCGCGAGCCAAUUUGAACAAUCGUGGGGCUGGACAAAUUAGCAUUCGAUUAAAUAGUUCAGAACAACUUCAAAUUGCUUUGAUUGGCCUCAUCCCUCUACUACAGAAGGUUGUUGGUUAUUCUCAACAAUUGCAGUAUGGACAAUGAUGAUGAUGUUAGAUUAUGUGAGCUACAGCACAGUAGUAGGAACAAUUUUCACUGAGCAAUUGAUUACACAUGCCUAGUACAAGUCAAUUUUGGAUUUUAAAUUUUUAGCAGGACAUCCUCUUUAGAUAAGCAUGGAACUGGCUUGAGCUGAUAGUAAAGAUGGCGUUGCAUAAAGUACAGAAGGUAUAACAAUUGUUUUGGAAAAGAAUAAAUCUGUAUCAUACUCUUGAGAAGCCAGUCACAAUGUUUCUUGGUGCUCUUUGUUAUAAACACUGAUUAUUUGGGAGUUUGAAAAUAAUUUGCGAAGCGUGCUGUUUGCUUUAUGUUCUAGAAUUUGCUAAGAUUCAGAUGCAGUAAUUCAAUAGUGAAAUUAUUGUAGAUAACUCGUUUUACUUGCGCACAGAGUAGUUAUAUAUCUUCUGCCUUUGGAUUUGACUACUGUUAUGUCGCUCACGGAACAAGGAUAGGAUUAGUUUUUGCCUAUAUGAAUAAUUAAGAGACUCCUAAUCUUGUUGUCACUCUCGGUUAAUUAUGGAUGAAUAUCUUUUUUCAAUAGAAUCUGGAUUUCACAGUUGCAGCA